CUACGGGCUGCACCAGUGAGGAAUAUUGCGCAAUGGGCGAAAGCCUGACGCAGCCAUGCCGCGUGUGUGAUGAAGGCCUUCGGGUUGUAAAGCACUGUCAGAGGGGAAGAGCAGCCCGGUCAACACCCGGGUCCGACGGUACCCUCAAAGGAAGCACCGGCUAACUCCGUGCCAGCAGCCGCGGUAAAACGGGGGGUGCUAGCGUUGUUCGGAAUCACUGGGCGUAAAGCGUGCGUAGGCGGCCUGUUAAGCCAGGUGUGAAAUCCUGCGGCUUAACCGUAGAACUGCAUCUGGAACUGGCAGGCUAGAGUUCGGUAGAGGGAAGGGGAAUUCCCGGUGGAGAGGUGAAAUUCGUAGAGAUCGGGAGGAAUACCAGUGGCGAAGGCGCCUUCCUGGACCUGAACUGACGCUGAGGCACGAAAGCGUGGGGAGCAAACAGGAUUAGAUACCCUUGUAGUC
This 459-nucleotide ribosomal RNA is filed under the name uncultured bacterium. RNAcentral describes it as "partial 16S ribosomal RNA". It matches the Rfam family "Bacterial small subunit ribosomal RNA", at positions 339 to 795 of the family's 1533-position model. The record is from RNAcentral.